Aptenodytes forsteri (emperor penguin) is the source of this 3221-nucleotide RNA transcript. It is a transcript of the gene named nucleoporin 54, with no coding region annotated. The transcript is spliced from 11 exons. NCBI's taxonomy places the organism in Eukaryota, Metazoa, Chordata, Aves, Sphenisciformes, Spheniscidae. The record is from RefSeq and is a predicted model, not a curated record.
GACCUGUGAGUGGCAGCAUCUUUUUGCAAAUACUUCGUAGCAGACUGUCUUUCUUCAUUUGAAUACAUGUAAAAACAGCUUGAAACGGGGAAACUUUGCUCUCCAGGGCUAGUCAGAUGUCCACAGGCUGCACCUCGGGCCGAUGGCGCUUUUGCACCACCGUAGCAAAGAGGUGGUGUGGUGGCAUCCAGCACUUGUGCAGUCUCAUGCGCUGGGAGGCUGUCUGGGCCAGUAGCACCGGUCUCGGCACAGCCACCCUGUAUCGGGGCACAUCUUCUGAGGGGGCAAAUGGGAAGAUGGGGUUCUUGGGGCUUUCACUGGCACAGUGGAGCUCAGGCCCUCCCUUAGGUCUCCUCCUGCUAGCCAGUGACUGGUUUUCCUGCAGAUCUGUGGAAGGCUGAUGGCUUUUGCAUCCGUCUUCCUCUGAUAGUGGUUGAACCUCAAAAUGAGAUUUAAUGGGGAUGAUGACAGGGAAACUAGGCUUAAAAAAAAAAAAAAAGACCUUGUAGAAUUUUACCUGUGUGUAGAAAGAAAUCGUUGCUGUGACAGCAUUCCCAUGUCAGCACAGCAAUUGUGUGCACCCUAGCCUCAAGCUUUACUUGAUUUGUUUCUAUUUUUGCUCUGAAGAGGUUAGGAAUGUUUAAAAAGCUUACAAAACAUCAGAUGGUUUAUUAAACACUUAGCAACGAUAUUGACUAGAAGUAUUCCUGAGAAUGAAUCUAAGAAAUACUAUUACUAGUUGUGUCUGUCAUGAAGGAAAGCACAUCCUGCUGGUAAAGGAGCAGGAUGUUAGUUAACUGCUGCUUUUUUAUUUGCUUUCUUGACACACCAUAGACGUAUUGGCUUUCUGGUUCAUGUUUUCUCCCCCAUUUCCUCAGACAAUGAACUCGAUACCCAUGAUCAAUGUGAACUACAUGCUUGUAACAUAAUACAUCCAUCUGUCAACAUCUCUUCUCAUAACACCCCUUGAAGCGUGCGGUUUAUCGUCAUGUUAUGCACGGCUGCCACUCACAAUGUGCUGUCUGCCUUACUUGCAAACUUUGUUUGUUAGGUGCGUUUGGAGGAUUUGGGACAACUACCACCACUGCGGGACCAGCAUUUAGUUUCUCUGCUCCCAGCAAUACAGGCACCAGCGGACUCUUUGGUGGUACCCAGAACAAAGGCUUUGGAUUUGGUACUAGUUUUGGCACAGGAACUGGAACUGGCUUGGGUAGUGGGUUGGGAACUGGGCUAGGCUUCGGAGGCUUCGGUACGCAGCAGCAACAGACCACAUUAGGAAGCGGCUUGUUCAGCCAGCCUGCUCAGACACCUGCCCAGUCGAACCAGCUCAUCAAUACUACCAGUGCCCUCUCGGCUCCGACACUCUUAGGAGAUGAGAGAGAUGCUAUUUUGGCAAAAUGGAACCAGCUUCAGGCCUUCUGGGGAACAGGCAAAGGUUACUUCAACAAUAACAUCGCUCCAGUGGAGUUCACGCAGGAAAACCCCUUUUGCAGGUUUAAGGCUGUGGGUUACAGUUUAAUGCCCAACAACAAAGAUGAAGAUGGCCUCGUGGUCUUGGUCUUUAACAGAAAAGAAACAGAUAUUCGAAGCCAGCAGCAGCAGCUCGUAGAAUCACUACACAAAAUUCUGGGAGGAAACCAGACGCUCACUGUCAAUGUAGAAGGUGUUAAGACAUUGCCAGAUGACCAGACAGAAGUGAUCAUUUACGUUGUUGAGCGCUCGCCCAACGGCACUUCGAGGAGAGUUCCUGCAACGACCCUCUACGCCCACUUUGAACAAGCCAACAUAAAAUCGUCCCUGCAGCAGCUGGGGGUCAGUCUCUCCAUGGCCAGAACAGAGCUUUCCCCGGCACAAGUCAAACAGCUCUUGCAGAACCCUCCUGCCGGUGUUGAUCCAAUUAUAUGGGAACAAGCCAAAGUUGAUAAUCCUGAUCCUGACAAGCUUAUUCCUGUGCCAAUGGUGGGUUUCAAGGAACUGUUGAGAAGAUUGAAGGUCCAAGAUCAGAUGACCAAACAGCAUCAAACUCGAUUAGAUAUAAUAUCAGAAGAUAUCAGCGAGCUGCAGAAAAACCAAACGACAACUAUGGCGAAAAUUGCACAGUACAAAAGGAAACUGAUGGCGCUUUCUCACAGAACGUUACAGCCUUCUUUUGUAGGUGUUAAUAAAGCAGGAGAUCCAAAGGAAAAGCGGUUAUGCCAUUCAAGCAGACGAAGAGCAGCUUCGUGUACAGUUAGAUACGAUUCAGUGUGAACUUAAUGCACCUACGCAGUUCAAGGGCAGACUGAAUGAGCUCAUGUCCCAAAUCAGGAUGCAAAACCACUUUGGAGCAGUGCGGGCUGAAGAGCGAUAUUACAUAGAUGCAGACCUCUUAAGGGAAAUCAAGCAACAUUUGAAGCAGCAGCAAGAAGGCCUGAGCCACCUAAUUAGCAUUAUAAAGGAUGACUUGGAAGAUAUCAAACUUAUAGAACAUGGGCUGAACGAGAGCAUUCCCAUCAGAGGAGGAGUCUUCAGUUGACGUGGUGGAUGCUGCUGGGCUUACACAGAACACAUUACUCGAGUUCAUGGUUCACCUUCCAAGGCUAAAACUGUUGAGGUAAAAUAAAACACGUAUCUUCUAGGAACAAUGGUAUUUUGGCUGUUAUCUUUAGAAUUAGCAAAGCCUCUUCUAAGCUUUUGAACUUGACCUUUGGAAGGUUUAUAUUUUAUAAAGCUGUAUAUGCUUUAAUAAAAGAAGGAAAACUGAAUCUGUUCAGAUACCGUUUUACUAUAAAACUAUAUGUACUAUUGUACAUUUUUUCUUUUUUUUUUUCCCCCCCUUUUUUUACAACAACAUUGUCCUAGAAAUGCAGUGCCGAGGGAAUUGUUCCACUUGUGACUUGGUUUGUGGCAAGCUUAGCCCGCUUCGAUGUUUUUGUCAAAACAAUCAAGUAACAUCAUUAUGUAAACAGCUAAUUUAAAUCAUUACAGAUAUGUAUGUUGCUGUAACGAUGUCGGUCUCUGCAAUACCAGUAGUUUGCUGGGGCAAGCUGCAGGAAGUUGAUGUUUCCAGUUUCUGUCAUUCCUUUGGACUGCAAGGAUCUGAAGGUUAUAUUUUUAUCACUUUACAUAUGUGGAUUAUACAAAGCUUCGCUGCCCCUUAAGUAACAACAGAAUGUCUAGACGUUGUCUUCUGCCUUUUUUUUUAAUUGCUGGAGAGUAAUAAAUUCAGUCUGACUUUGUAA